This 782-nucleotide small RNA is filed under the name Pan troglodytes (chimpanzee). Its description in RNAcentral is "retained intron". Lineage: Eukaryota; Metazoa; Chordata; Mammalia; Primates; Hominidae. The record is from RNAcentral.
CCUCCAAUUUUAGGUGUUCAGGCGCUUCGUGGAGGUUGGCCGGGUGGCCUAUGUCUCCUUUGGACCUCAUGCCGGAAAAUUGGUCGCGAUUGUAGAUGUUAUUGAUCAGAACAGGGCUUUGGUCGAUGGACCUUGCACUCAAGUGAGGAGACAGGCCAUGCCUUUCAAGUGCAUGCAGCUCACUGAUUUCAUCCUCAAGUUUCCGCACAGUGCCCGCCAGAAGUAUGUCCGACAAGCCUGGCAGAAGGCAGACAUCAAUACAAAAUGGGCAGCCACACGAUGGGCCAAGAAGAUUGAAGCCAGAGAAAGGAAAGCCAAGAUGACAGAUUUUGAUCGUUUUAAAGUUAUGAAGGCAAAGAAAAUGAGGAACAGAAUAAUCAAGAAUGAAGUUAAGAAGCUUCAAAAGGCAGCUCUCCUGAAAGCUUCUCCCAAAAAAGCACCUGGUACUAAGGGUACUGCUGCUGCUGCUGCUGCUAAAGUUCCAGCAAAAAAGAUCACCGCCACGAGUAAAAAGGCUCCAGCCCAGAAGGUUCCUGCCCAGAAAGCCACAGGCCAGAAAGCAGCGCCUGCUCCAAAAGCUCAGAAGGGUCAAAAAGCUCCAGCCCAGAAAGCACCUGCUCCAAAGGCAUCUGGCAAGAAAGCAUAAGUGGCGAUCAUAAAAAGUAAUAAAGGUUCUUUUUGACCUGUUGACAAAUGUAUUUAAGCCUUUGGAUUUAAAGCCUGUUGAGGCUAGAGUUAGGAGGCAGAUUGAUAGUAGGAUUAUAAUAAACAUUAAAUAAUCA